RNAcentral lists this long non-coding RNA (430 nucleotides) under Vitis vinifera (wine grape). Its description in RNAcentral is "long non-coding RNA (VVIN_LNC000231)". Lineage: Eukaryota; Viridiplantae; Streptophyta; Magnoliopsida; Vitales; Vitaceae. The record is from RNAcentral.
UCCAAAAUAAUCUCUUUGAGCUUGGACCAAAUUAGCAGGCAGCCUGUCCCUCCUGUAGGAAUCAAAGUAAGCAAGACUAGAAGACAUACCCGGAGUGCUAAUGCCUGAGUUGAUGGCAAGGCAAACAACCCUUCGCCAGGCAGACUGUCGCUCAACUAUCUCCUUUGCAAACUCUGGAUCCACAAGAAGGUUAGCAAGAUCUGCAUUCCUAUCAUAGGCCUUCUUGAUACGGUCCAAAAAUAUUGCACGAAUAAUGCAACCUCCCUUCCAAAUCCUGGCAAGCUCACCCAGUUUCAAAUCCCAUCCCUUCUCAAUGCUCUUUGCCCGGAUAAGAUUCAUUCCCUGUGCAUAACUACAAAUUUUGGAUGCAUAAAGUGCCUGCCUCACAUCAUCUAUCAACUUCUUCUUGUCCACAGUCUGGUCAGACAAG